Molecule: ribosomal RNA, 237 nt
Filed under: uncultured Staphylococcus sp.
Lineage: Bacteria; Bacillati; Bacillota; Bacilli; Caryophanales; Staphylococcaceae
Description: partial 16S ribosomal RNA
Rfam family: Bacterial small subunit ribosomal RNA
Source: RNAcentral
GGGGUGAGUAACACGUGGAUAACCUACCUAUAAGACUGGGAUAACUUCGGGAAACCGUAGCUAAUACCGGAUAAUAUUUUGAACCGCAUGGUUCAAAAGUGAAAGACGGUCUUGCUGUCACUUAUAGAUGGAUCCGCGCUGCAUUAGCUAGUUGGUAAGGUAACGGCUUACCAAGGCAACGAUGCAUAGCCGACCUGAGAGGGUGAUCGGCCACACUGGAACUGAGACACGGUCCAG